This 72-nucleotide transfer RNA is filed under the name Ovis aries (sheep). It matches the Rfam family "tRNA". Rfam says of the family: Transfer RNA (tRNA) molecules are approximately 80 nucleotides in length. Lineage: Eukaryota; Metazoa; Chordata; Mammalia; Artiodactyla; Bovidae. The record is from Rfam by way of RNAcentral.
UCCCUGGUGGCUCAGAGGAUAAAGCAUUUGCCUGCAAAGCAGGAGACCCAGGUUUGAUCCCUGGAUUGGGAA